This is a long non-coding RNA of Ornithorhynchus anatinus (platypus), 691 nucleotides long. RefSeq lists it as uncharacterized. NCBI's taxonomy places the organism in Eukaryota, Metazoa, Chordata, Mammalia, Monotremata, Ornithorhynchidae. The transcript is spliced from 2 exons. The record is from RefSeq and is a predicted model, not a curated record.
AGUUGCAAGCCCAUGAGCACACUCUAGUCUGAGAGACAGAGAGAGUCUCUCUCUCCAGCUGGGUUUACAAUGGGCUCCUUUUUGUAUUCCCUGAUCUGGGCACGGUGGCAAGAGAACAGGCCUGGGAGUCCGAGGAGGUGGGUUCUAAUCCUGGCUCUGCCACUUGUCUACUAUGUGACCUUGGCUUGGUCUGAUUUGAGCUUUCAGACUAAAAAGAAGAUACUCUUGCUCUUCAGAGAUGUUACUGGUUUAUCGAACGAGAACAAGGUUUUCCAGCCUCGCCCAAAAGUCCUAUUAAAAAUAUCGACGUGUCCUAGAGAAACGUACCCUCUGGUAAUGAGACCCAAAUCCGCGUGUUCUUGUUCCAGACUGUUUGCAGAGGAAGAAAACGAUGUUCUCCUACACAUGAGGAACGGCAAAAUUUUGAUAAAUUUGUACAUCUCUGUGCUGUUGCCUUGGGCGUAAACUUGCUAUUAUAGCUCCAUGCUUAGCUUCUAAUUUCAGUCAACCCCAUUAAAACCUCCCUUCCGGGGCAUUCUGACACCCAAGGAUAGAUUAAUUGGGGGAAAAAAAAAUGUGCUUUCUCUUUUAGUGGAAAAUAAAAGUUACCUCAGCAUGUAAAAAUCAAGCAUUUGGAGAUGGGGAAGCAAAUGAAAAUAAAAGAAACUGGCUCUCUGAAUUUCUCGUAGUA